RNAcentral lists this ribosomal RNA (755 nucleotides) under Meloidogyne morocciensis. Its description in RNAcentral is "partial large subunit ribosomal RNA". It matches the Rfam family "Eukaryotic large subunit ribosomal RNA", at positions 344 to 964 of the family's 3401-position model. The record is from RNAcentral. Lineage: Eukaryota; Metazoa; Nematoda; Chromadorea; Rhabditida; Meloidogynidae.
ACAAGUACCGUGAGGGAAAGUUGCAAAGCACUUUGAAGAGAGAGUUAAAGAGGACGUGAAACCGGUAAGGUGGAAACGGGUAGAGUCGGCGUAUCUUUCAAGUAUUCAUUUACAUUAUUUUUGUGUUGUGAUCUCUGAGCUCCGGAUUGGGACAGAGGGAAGCAGCAUAAUUGUCUGUGAUGCAUUUACUUGUUUGGUGCUUGGGGAUGUUUGAGGCAGAUUUGUAACCGCCGUUUUGAGGCCAGCUUGCUGGCACCCAAACGGUGUUAGCAUUUUUUGUCUUGGGCAUUUGAGUAUGGCUCACGUGUAUUUAUUGGACAGAUCUGAGUGUAAGUUACGGUCGCAUGCGACACGUGCUUUUCAAUUAGUUCGGUCCAGUUAGUUCGGUCCAGUUAAUGCUCUCGUACUCGUUCCCCAUGUAAAAGCCGGUCAUCUAUCCGACCCGUCUUGAAACACGGACCAAGGAGUUUAUCGUGUGCGCAAGUUUUUGGGUGUUUGAAAGUAAAUGACUCUUUAGAGUCUGAUGUGCGAUCUUGUAAAAAAGUGUAGCAUGGCCCCAUUCUAACUGUUUACAGUAGGGUGGCGGAAGAGCGUACGCGGUGAGACCCGAAAGAUGGUGAACUAUUCCUGAGCAGGACGAAGCCAGAGGAAACUCUGGUGGAAGUCCGAAGCGGUUCUGACGUGCAAAUCGAUCGUCUGACUUGGGUAUAGGGGCGAAAGACUAAUCGAACCAUCUAGUAGCUGGUUCCUUCCGA